CCUACGGGAGGCAGCAGUGGGGAAUCUUGCGCAAUGGGCGAAAGCCUGACGCAGCAACGCCGCGUGCGGGAUGAAGGCCUUCGGGCUGUAAACCGCUUUCAGCAGGAACGAAAAUGACGGUACCUGCAGAAGAAGGAGCGGCCAACUACGUGCCAGCAGCCGCGGUGACACGUAGGCUCCAAGCGUUGUCCGGAUUUAUUGGGCGUAAAGAGCUCGUAGGCGGUCUAGUAAGUCGGGUGUGAAAACUCUGGGCUCAACCCAGAGACGCCAUCCGAUACUGCUGUGACUUGAGUUCAGGAGGGGAGCGGGGAAUUCCUAGUGUAGCGGUGAAAUGCGCAGAUAUUAGGAGGAACACCGGUGGCGAAGGCGCCGCUCUGGACUGAAACUGACGCUGAGGAGCGAAAGCAUGGGUAGCAAACAGGAUUAGAUACCCUGGUAGUCCAUGCCGUAAACGGUGGGCACUAGGUGUGGGUUUCAACUAACGAAAUCCGCGCCGUCGCUAACGCAUUAAGUGCCCCGCCUGGGGAGGUACGGUCGCGAGACGAAACGUACGAAGGAAGUAGUUACGGCGUGAGACGUGCCGACGGCGACGACGAGGGAGGAGG
This 605-nucleotide ribosomal RNA is filed under the name uncultured bacterium. RNAcentral's name for it is "bacterial SSU rRNA". The stretch from base 1 to 521 matches the Rfam family "Bacterial small subunit ribosomal RNA", at positions 338 to 873 of the family's 1533-position model. The record is from RNAcentral.